AAACCAUGAUGUGGACAAUCUCUCUGAUAUGCCUUGAAUCUCACCUAAUCAGCUUUGAAUGCAUCAGUUGGUCCCUGAGAGAACGUAGAGAUUUAUAGUAUCAGUUC
This is a small nucleolar RNA of Eutrema salsugineum, 107 nucleotides long. It matches the Rfam family "Plant small nucleolar RNA R71". From Rfam's summary of the family: R71 is a member of the C/D box family of snoRNAs containing the C (UGAUGA) and D (CUGA) box motifs. Multiple nearly identical copies of this snoRNA have been identified in Arabidopsis, and it is thought to function as a 2'-O-ribose methylation guide for 18S ribosomal RNA. The record is from Rfam. Lineage: Eukaryota; Viridiplantae; Streptophyta; Magnoliopsida; Brassicales; Brassicaceae.